UGGGGAAUAUUGGACAAUGGGGGCAACCCUGAUCCAGCAAUGCCGCGUGUGUGAAGAAGGCCUGCGGGUUGUAAAGCACUUUCAGUAGAGAAGAAAAGCCUAGGGUUAAUACCCCUGAGUCUUGACGUAACCUACAGAAGAAGCACCGGCUAACUCCGUGCCAGCAGCCGCGGUAAUACGGAGGGUGCAAGCGUUAAUCGGAAUUACUGGGUUUAAAGGAUGCGUAGGCGGCUUUUUAAGUCAGUGGUGAAAGCCUAGACACUUAAUGUCAGAAGUGCCAUUGAUACUGAAGAGCUUGAGUCAAGGAGAGGUAAGCAGAAUUUGUGGUGUAGCAGUGAAAUGCUUAGAUACCAUGAGGAAUACCAACAGCGAAAGCAGCUUACUGGCCUUGUACUGACGCUGAGGCACGAAAGCGUGGGGAGCAAACAGGAUUAGAUACCCCCGUAGUCC
RNAcentral lists this ribosomal RNA (450 nucleotides) under uncultured prokaryote. RNAcentral describes it as "bacterial SSU rRNA". It matches the Rfam family "Bacterial small subunit ribosomal RNA", at positions 355 to 796 of the family's 1533-position model. The record is from RNAcentral.